AACGAACGCUGGCGGCAUGCCUAACACAUGCAAGUCGAACGAGACCUUCGGGUCUAGUGGCGCACGGGUGCGUAACGCGUGGGAACCUGCCCUUAGGUUCGGAAUAACUCCCCGAAGGGGGUGCUAAUACCGGAUAAUGUCUUCGGGCCAAAGAUUUAUUGCCUUUGGAUGGGCCCGCGUUGGAUUAGCUAGUUGGUAGGGGAAAAGCCUAGCAAGGCGACGUUCCAUAGCUGGUCUGUGAGGAGGAUUAGCCACACUGGGACUGAGACACGGCCCAGACUCGUACGGGAGGGAGCAGUGUGGAAUAUUGGACGAUGGGCGCAGGCCUGAUACAGCAAUGCCGGGUGAGUGAUGAAGGCCGUAGGGUUGUAAAGCUCUUUUACCCGGGAUGAUAAUGACGGUACCGGGUGAAUAAGCACCGGCUAACUACGUG
This 433-nucleotide ribosomal RNA is filed under the name uncultured bacterium. RNAcentral's name for it is "partial 16S ribosomal RNA". It matches the Rfam family "Bacterial small subunit ribosomal RNA", at positions 29 to 507 of the family's 1533-position model. The record is from RNAcentral.